RNAcentral lists this ribosomal RNA (110 nucleotides) under Centella asiatica (Asiatic pennywort). RNAcentral's name for it is "4.5S ribosomal RNA". Lineage: Eukaryota; Viridiplantae; Streptophyta; Magnoliopsida; Apiales; Apiaceae. The record is from RNAcentral.
GAAGGUCACGGCGAGACGAGCCGUUUAUCAUUACGAUAUACGAUAGGUGUCAAGUGGAAGUGCAGUGAUGUAUGCAGCUGAGGCAUCCUAACAGACCGGUAGACUUGAAC